Otolemur garnettii (small-eared galago) is the source of this 100-nucleotide small nuclear RNA. The record is from Ensembl. Lineage: Eukaryota; Metazoa; Chordata; Mammalia; Primates; Galagidae.
UUGCUUCAGCAGCACAUGUACUAAAAUUGGAACGAUACAGAGAUUAGCAUGGCCCUUGCACAAGGAUGACAUGCAAAUUCAUGAAGCAUUCCAUAUUUUU